RNAcentral lists this ribosomal RNA (253 nucleotides) under uncultured bacterium. Its description in RNAcentral is "partial 16S ribosomal RNA". It matches the Rfam family "Bacterial small subunit ribosomal RNA", at positions 524 to 776 of the family's 1533-position model. The record is from RNAcentral.
UACGGGGGGGGCAAGCGUUGUCCGGAAUUACUGGGCGUAAAGGGCUCGUAGGCGGCCAACUAAGUCGGAUGUGAAAUCCCCAGGCUCAACCUGGGAACUGCAUCCGAUACUGGAUGGCUUGAAUCCGGGAGAGGGAUGCAGAAUUCCAGGUGUAGCGGUGAAAUGCGUAGAUAUCUGGAGGAAUACCGGUGGCGAAGGCGGCAUCCUGGACCGGCAUUGACGCUGAGGAGCGAAAGCCAGGGGAGCAAACGGG